UGAGGAAUAUUGGUCAAUGGGCGGAAGCCUGAACCAGCCAAGUAGCGUGCAGGAUGACGGCCCUACGGGUUGUAAACUGCUUUUAUACGGGAAUAACGCGCCUUACGUGUAGGGCUUUGCAUGUACCGUAUGAAUAAGGACCGGCUAAUUCCGUGCCAGCAGCCGCGGUAAUACGGAAGGUCCGGGCGUUAUCCGGAUUUAUUGGGUUUAAAGGGAGCGUAGGCCGCAUGUCAAGCGUGCUGUGAAAUGUCCGGGCUCAACCCGGGCCUUGCAGCGCGAACUGGCGUGCUUGAGUCCGCGGAAAGCAGGCGGAAUUCGUCGUGUAGCGGUGAAAUGCUUAGAUAUGACGAAGAACCCCGAUUGCGAAGGCAGCUUGCUGCAGCGGAACUGACGCUGAUGCUCGAAAGCGCGGGUAUCGAACAGG
This 424-nucleotide ribosomal RNA is filed under the name uncultured bacterium. Its description in RNAcentral is "bacterial SSU rRNA". It matches the Rfam family "Bacterial small subunit ribosomal RNA", at positions 355 to 776 of the family's 1533-position model. The record is from RNAcentral.